AUUGAACGCUGGCGGCAUGCCUUACACAUGCAAGUCGAACGGCAGCACGGGGGCAACCCUGGUGGCGAGUGGCGAACGGGUGAGUAAUACAUCGGAACGUGUCCUGUCGUGGGGGAUAACCAGUCGAAAGACUGGCUAAUACCGCAUGAGAUCGAGAGAUGAAAGCAGGGGACCGCAAGGCCUUGCGCGAUUGGAGCGGCCGAUGUCGGAUUAGCUAGUUGGCGGGUAAAAGCCCACCAAGGCGACGAUCCGUAGCUGGUUUGAGAGAACGACCAGCCACACUGGGACUGAGACACGGCCCAGACUCCUACGGGAGCAGCAGUGGGGAAUUUUGGACAAUGGGGGCAACCCUGAUCCAGCCAUGCCGCGUGUGUGAAGAAGGCCUCGGGUUGUAAAGCGACUUCGUACGGAACGAAAUACGCGCGGGUGAAGU
This 433-nucleotide ribosomal RNA is filed under the name uncultured bacterium. Its description in RNAcentral is "bacterial SSU rRNA". It matches the Rfam family "Bacterial small subunit ribosomal RNA", at positions 29 to 466 of the family's 1533-position model. The record is from RNAcentral.